RNAcentral lists this unclassified non-coding RNA (330 nucleotides) under soil metagenome. RNAcentral describes it as "partial contains 5.8S ribosomal RNA, internal transcribed spacer 2, and large subunit ribosomal RNA". The stretch from base 1 to 121 matches the Rfam family "5.8S ribosomal RNA", at positions 35 to 154 of the family's 154-position model. The record is from RNAcentral.
GAUGAAGAACGUAGCGAAAUGCGAUAAGUAAUGCGAAUUGCAGAAUUUCCGUGAGUCAUCGAACCUUUGAACGCACAUUGCGCCCCUUGGUAUUCCGAGGGGCAUGCCUGUUCGAGCGUCAUUAUAACCCCUCAAGCUCAGCUUGGUGUUGGGGCCUGCUGCACUGGCAGCCCUUAAAAUCAGUGGCGGCGCCAUCUGGCUCUAAGCGUAGUAAUUCUUCUCGCUAUGGAGUCCUGGUGGAUGCUUGCCAUCAACCCCCAAUUUUUCUAUGGUUGACCUCGGAUCAGGUAGGGAUACCCGCUGAACUUAAGCAUAUCAAUAAGCGGAGGA